RNAcentral lists this ribosomal RNA (541 nucleotides) under uncultured fungus. RNAcentral describes it as "eukaryotic LSU rRNA". The stretch from base 172 to 325 matches the Rfam family "5.8S ribosomal RNA". The record is from RNAcentral. Lineage: Eukaryota; Fungi.
UUUCCGUAGGUGAACCUGCGGAAGGAUCAUUACCUAGAGUUGUAGGCUUUGCCUGCUAUCUCUUACCCAUGUCUUUUGAGUACCUUCGUUUCCUCGGCGGGUCCGCCCGCCGAUUGGACAAUUUAAACCAUUUGCAGUUGCAAUCAGCGUCUGAAAAAACUUAAUAGUUACAACUUUCAACAACGGAUCUCUUGGUUCUGGCAUCGAUGAAGAACGCAGCGAAAUGCGAUAAGUAGUGUGAAUUGCAGAAUUCAGUGAAUCAUCGAAUCUUUGAACGCACAUUGCGCCCCUUGGUAUUCCAUGGGGCAUGCCUGUUCGAGCGUCAUUUGUACCUUCAAGCUCUGCUUGGUGUUGGGUGUUUGUCUCGCCUCUGCGUGUAGACUCGCCUCAAAACAAUUGGCAGCCGGCGUAUUGAUUUCGGAGCGCAGUACAUCUCGCGCUUUGCACUCAGAACGACGACGUCCAAAAGUACAUUUUUACACUCUUGACCUCGGAUCAGGUAGGGAUACCCGCUGAACUUAAGCAUAUCAAUAAGCGGAGG